UCAGCCUCUCAAAGUGCUGGGAUUACAGGCAUGAGCCACGGUGCCUGGGCUGACAAAUAUUUAUUAUUGAGUUUGUGGAACCCAGAAUGAUCUAGGGCCUCAGUGGCCACUGAACCCUGGGGCACACUUGAACAAAAAUAUGGGCUUCUCAGCCACUAUGCCUUGACAUCCUCUCUAAUCAGAAGUUUGUGUAAUAAGUGCAAAAGACAAUAUUCACAGUGACAAUGAUACUGUGAACUGCCAUAGGGAGAGUAGACAUGACUGUGGUGACAAUGCAGCGGCAGCAGGACCCUGUCCUCUCAUAAGUGGGCAUCCUUUCCCCAUGUGAACACCACAUAGCAGAAACGCCCAUCUUCCAAAGCCCUUUUAUCAUGUUAUGAAUUAUUUACACUUCCAUAUAUUUCAGUUAAAGAGUGGUAAUCAGAUCUGUAUGGAUGCCACUUGGGUCAUUUGUCAUUUCACUUGAAGGCAAAGAAAUGUUUUUAACUGGUAAGUACAACCUUAUCAUAAAAGUCUAUUUUCUGUAAGAAAUACUGAAAAUAUAUUAAAGACCUCCCUUAGUGCCCUUCAGGACACAUAAGAAUCCUAAUAUACCAGGUUGGGAACCAUUGCUAUAGGAUUUGAAAGGAAUAGUAAAUAGUAUUAUCUGAAAGUGAAGAGGAAGAAGAGAUUCUACUUAAAAAUAUUUGUUAAAUGACUGAAAGAAAUAAAUCUAUGAAGUCGUUUAGAACAUGGUCCUUUAGGGAAAGACCUGCCUGCUGUAGAUUCCAUUCACAUUUUAUACGUUUGUAAUGCCUUACAAAGCUAGUCUUUGCACUUAAAGCUACUGCUAACUGAGCAAUAGAAUCACACCUCAUAAGGCUUAAACUGUGUAUUUAAAGGUUUUGAUAGGGGAUCCAGAAAUCUGAGUGAAACCCUGGGUUCUGCAGGUACACAUGGCUCAUGUAUAAGGCAUUUGAAGGGCUUGUGGCCUUGAUGGGGAACACUGUCAACUCUGAUCCUGUUUGUCUGAGGUUACUUGGGGUACAAGAUGAAGACAGAAGGGCGUGCCUCCCUUCUGGAACCAUCACGGCCAGCAGCCGCAUGUUGGGCAGCUGCUGAUACUCAGGGUGCCCAGGCGGGAGAUGGUGAGAGGCCAGCCCUAGCCAAAUUCCUUGCUGCUGCCAGAGGAAGCAGUCUUGCCAUGUGUGUCCACAGGGAUAAGAUUAGCUGCCGAGGUGGAGCUGAUAUCUGAGCGAGGCUCUCGAGGACACAUUCUGGAUAGAUCUCCAUAUGGGAGUUGGAUGACUGCCACCAGCCAGUCUUGGCAGUCCCCAGAAUUCUUCUGAAGUGGACAGUGGAAGAAGUGAAACAUUUGCCUGGCAGCUGGCAUCAAUGCAGUCUCUCUCUGGACAUGCAGAAGAAAAGGUUCAAAAGGAACUGAACCCAAACCAGUCUUUAUUUGAUUUUAGAUGGAAUUAAAACAUUUUUGUGGGUCUCGACAAGUAUUGCCAGCACUGCACCUGCCACCCUGAUAGCAAACUCCAGUGGAAGUAACAGCAGAUCUUGCAAAUAGAGAAACAUCUGCCUCAGUUCUGAAGCAAGCAAGUGACCAUCCUCAUGCCACAAAAUAGAAGAACUUCUGCUAGAUCCAGAACUGUCACCCCUGGGUCGCAUGGAGGCCUUGAGGGUUGGGAUUCAAUCCUCAUUCCUGAGAAGGUGAGAAGCAUAGCAAGGAGGUCAGGGGAUCUGAGGGGCUUCAGUGAUGCCCCUUACUUGAGCUCUCUCUGAUCUCUCUUAACCAGGAGCUCUAGAACCCCAUUGUGAAUGUGGACAUUGUUAUGGAUGCAAAUGUCCACCUGUGCAGAGAAUUAGGCAAGACAGAGAGAGGUGUUUUUCUGGGAAGACUGUCUGAGCGAGCAACCACAAAGUUUCUGGUCAUGGUUCCUGCCCUGCCUCCCUCUCUACUUUGGAGCUCCUGUAACUCCAAGUGGAUAAUAUACGGUUUUGUUUUUGUCAUUGUUAUUGUUGAUGUUGCUUGUCUUUACUUUGUAAAAUAUGAACCUUUCAUCAUAUGAGUGAUUUUGGCAAAAUGCACCUCAGACAUUCAAAUACUUCCUAUUUAUUAAGCGCCUCCCACUGUGCAAUCCAUAUGCUAGGCACUGCAGAUGAUGUCUUAGUCUUUAUAACAACCUUGCAGGUUGGAUAGCAUUGUUCCCUUUUCAGAAAUGUGGGAACAUGCCCAAGGUUCAGGGUAUUCUAAGUGGGAGAAUUCAGAUCCAGCUCACUCAGAGGUCUCUGCUGGCCCAGGUCUGUCCAUUGUCUUCUAGUGUAAAUGAAGGCAGCUGCUCUGAAGGCAGGAGGACCAGGCUUAAUCUGAAACCUGUGAUCAUUGAAACAAGCAUGGCCUGCUCUGCACAGGGUUCAAAUGAAUAGGUCUCUAUUUUCUCCUUUCUACAUAAUCACUCAAAUAAGAUAGGGACUAGAGUCAGGCAAGUGAGACUCUCAUCCCAGGAAGAAAAUAGAAGGGAGCACAAAAAAACUCAGUAAUCAAGAUAAAUAAUAACUUUAAUACAAUACAGUGUUUUAAAAAAUCAAGUCCUCAAACUAUAGCUGUCUGCCUAGCUAUUUUUAAACAUAAAGCUUUACCAAGGCUGGGAUGAGGCUUGAGCAAAUGAGGCCAGUUGUACAAGUUCAGUGUCAGAUCCUAUUUAAAGUUUUGAUAUUUUGUUCAUCAUGUUUAUUUUUUUCAUUAAUUCUAUCUGAAGCACCCACCCACCUUCUCAGCAGAUAUCUCCCUCUGGGGCUACCCUUUCCACAUGAGUUAUAGGGACCUGUGAUGUGCAAAAGGAAGUUACACAACUUCUCUUCAUGAUUUCUGUCUUUUGGGCACAAAAUUCUGACUUUUGAAGAAUACAGUUGCAUAAUCACCACCACAAUCAAGAUAUACAACAGUUCCAUUAUCCUAAAUAGUCAUCCCAUCCUCCACUCCCAAUAACUGGCAACUACCGGUCUGUUUUUCUGUCCCUAUAGUUUUGCCUUUUCCAGAAUGUCAUUUACAUGGAACAAUAUAGUAUGAAGCCUCUUGAGCCUGGCUCCUUUCAUUUAGUAUAAGUAUCUGAGAGUCUUCCAUGUUGUGUGUAGCAGUAGUUCCUAUCUUUGUAUUGCUGGCUAGUAUUCCAUUGUUGGAUGUACUUAUUUGGGUUGUUUUCAGCUUGGGGAGGCUAUGAAUAAACCACUGUAAACACUUGC
This 3231-nucleotide long non-coding RNA is filed under the name Homo sapiens (human). RNAcentral's name for it is "HSALNT0337554". Lineage: Eukaryota; Metazoa; Chordata; Mammalia; Primates; Hominidae. The record is from RNAcentral.